GGGCCCGCCCACCUGUGUAUGCUUUGGGGGCAGAUGCAUUACACACACACACACACACACACAAACACAGACGCCCAUACAUACAUGCGCGCGUACACAGUUACAUGAUCUUAGAUAUCGGACUAGAAUCUCACAGCCGCCGUUGCCGGGACUAAUACUACGGCUAGAGGUGGUGCUCACGAACACAGACUCAAGCAAGCUCCGCUUGCACGCUUGCCGUCUUCAAGUCAUGUCGACAGCCGGUCUCUCACGUGCGUACGCGGUGCUGCGCCAACUCGAUGUCCUGCGUGCCGAGAGCAUCACCAAUCCGCUGCCCAUGUCCGGCGACCGCCGCGCCCGUGUGCGAAGCGAAGAGCGAGGCGGAAGUGAGGUGGGGCGGUCGCUGUUUCGAUCGCGAGAGGAGUCGGCCGUGCGCGGCGUACGUCUGCAGGGAUACCGAACACCACCACCACCCACAGACAGGAGAGGGCGGCGUAGCGGUCGCGGAGGCGUUAUCUGGGAGAAUUCGAUAGACGUAGGUGCGACACAGGUGUCGCCCUCCCGCCUUGCCGGGGCGACUGACCACCGUGGCUACUCCUCAAAGCACCCGCACACUUACGCACCCGUGCGCUCACACCUCAUCCCUGCAUCCCCCACUCACGACGAGCCCCAGGCGGAGGCAUCGCGGCCGGCAGCCGCUGAGAGAGAUCGCCACGCCGCAGCUGCCACCACCAGUGCUGGCUUUCAGUCUCACCGCUCUCCACUCUCUGGCGAGUACGCGCUGGACGACCGCUACGACCACCAUGCGGCGCCGCCGCCGCCGCCGAGUCACGGCAGCGGUGCCUCUCCGUUGCUUUUCUCGUCAUCGAACUCCCCUCUCUCACAUCACCGGUACAACAGGCGAGUCGCAAGAGAAGAACGACCACUGCGCCGCUCGUCGUCGGCGCGCGUGGCAGUGCCGUCGCCCGUUGUGCUGCCCUCCUCUUUCACGAGCGAGGCAGCGCACAUGGCUGCUGCCCAGACGUCUUCGCUGCUGGAGGUGUACUUUGACAAGGACGACAUGCACGCAGUUCUAGACAGCGUGGCCGCUGCCACUGCUGCUGCUAAGUCUCCAGCGCAGCCUGGUACAGAGGCUGCUGGUGAGGCGGACACUGCGUGUUGCAAACACACGCGCACGGCUCGUGGCACUCAUCGCGGCCAUGGAGCGGCAGCGGAUUUCGCACAUAGUCUCGGCGCUUCCGUCGAUGCUUCAGCGACGACUGAGGCUGCCGUCACGCCGUCGUCACUCAGCAACUCUUCCCUGAUGGCGAUGCCAGGCGGAGAUGCGCAGUCUGCAAGCGACACCUCCCUUGUCGCCGCAGCCGAUGACGGGCGACACCCACUUUGGCAGCUAUCCAUGUCAAGGAACGACGUGGGCGACAAGCAACACCGCUGCCGCUCAGCAGCCGUUGCUUCUGCGGCGUCCCUGUCCACGCGCGUGAAGGAUGUCUCCAUCACCCCCAGCGUGGAGCGUCUCCUGGCCGCGCUACACCAAAGAUCGCGGUCCGUUGGGCAGCAGCAUCAGCAGCUGCAGCGAGAAGCAGCAGCCUCUGUAACUGCGGCGUUUCAGCGUCCUCUAUCCUCCCCUCCGCCGCCCGGCGACUUGUCGUUCUUCUACACCGCUGCCGGCUGCAGUGUGCGCGCGGAGGGUGGAGGUAACGCGUACGCGGCAGAGGCACCGCAACACCAACAGGAAGAGGCGUGCAUCUCUUUGAGCAGACACUGCCGCUUGCCACCGCACGGGAUAUCGUCCCCGUGUGGUGCAGUCGACGCCGAACCAUCCUCGCUUCCAGCUCUCGCGGAUCGCAUGAGCGAGGGAGUCGGAGAUGAUGGGAGCGGUGGCGCUGGCGAGAGUGAGGCCGGCAGCCCUUUGGGCCUCCAUGGCCUCUCCGAAGGCAGGACUGAAGAGGGGCGCAUUGACCAAGACGCGCACCAAAGAGAAGACAAGUCGCUCCCCCUGCGUGCCCUCCUCGGUGCCGCCGGGGAGAGGCCAGUGCAGAGGGCCGCUGUCGACGACGGCCAUCAGCGCCGUGGCACACACAGGCCGUCGCAGAACGACUCGAGAGGGCAGGGCGUCGCAUGCGGUGAACGUCGUCGCGUAAUGCCGCUGCUCCCUGCCGCGUACACGAAGGCGGUGCCCUUUCUCGACUACCUGGCGCGCGUCAACGCCGCCAGCUCACACCAGCUGCUCAAGGAGUUGGCUGCCAUGGGCGACGCUUGGGCCACCACCACACAGGCAGAGGACGCCGCCAGGGCUGGAGGUGAGCAUCCUGAGGUCACCGAGCCGGUUGUGGUCGACUGCCUUGCCAUGGACCUGCUCCUCAACAAACCUGACGCACUUGAGUACAUUGUAGUGCCUUGGCUGCGCACGCGUCUGGAGUCGAUGAUGGCGACUCAUUCGGCAGACAGGAUGAACUCCAGUGCCCGAAAGCAUCGCGGCCGAGGCAAGGCCGUCGCUGCCAACCCACUUCGCCGCACGGGGGAGUCGGAGGCGGAAGGCGUCGACGAGGGGGAUGCUGCGGCGAACAACAGCGUGCUGUGCGCCGUCAUCGGCCUCGGCCCCGUCGCUUUCACGCUCCUCCCCACCCUCCUACAGCUACUUAUCUGGCUGCCUCCGCCGUCGCCAACGUCAAUGUGCGAUGUGCGCCUUGUUGGGCUGGCGAUACGCACCGCGGGCGGCGCAGAUGGACUAGAGGCUGUGAUUCGCAUAGUGCAACAGCAGGCAGAGGGACCGCACGUUCUGGCUGCAGCGGCGUACGCACUCGGCACCUACAGCUUCGAGCUCGUCGGCCACACGAGCGUCUUGUGCGUGCCAGCUGGCGCGAUGCGUCGGCCUGAUGCGAAGGGAGGCGCAGACUCGCUUUUCCAGCUUGCGCCGGAUGACCUUUCCGCCUCUCCCGCGGACUCGCUCUCGGCGUCGCCGAUGAUGGAGGAGCUGCGGCCGCUCUUUGGCCGCGACCCUCUAUUGUUUUCUCCCACUGCGACGACAGCAGCGCCGACGGGGCGGCAUCUCCUCUACCUCCAGUCACCACCACCAUACCGGCCCACUCACGUGAUGGUAGACGCGGAGCUCGCACGAUGCGAGUUACUGGCAUACCUCCGCUCCGACCAGUUUCGCGUGACGCACGCGCAUCCGUACGUUAUGGCGUUACUGAAUGAUGCUCUGAGCGCACGGUUGCUGAGCGCCGUCGUGACGCCGGCCGCGCAGAGUCUGUACUCGCCCACCAUAUCGCGGCUGCGCCGCGACCUGCACCGGGUACUGGCUGAAGGUGCCGCCGGCACCGCCCCACACCAACGAGGCAAUGACGACGGCAGUGACGUCGAUGAAAAGGGGGCAGCUGCGCACGCGCUGCUGCGGCUUCCGCUUCUCCCGUACUCCCUUGAUCGUUUCUUUGCAGAGGAAAAGGAUAUGCUUUUCGCAUUGGAGUCGGCGCUUGUGCACGCCCUCUUGGCGCCCUCCGCGACGCCGCUGGUGCAGGAGCAGGCACUCAUGUCGCUGAGCACGCUGCCUCCGGUGGCCCGCGUGCACGUGGUGCAGCCCGUGACGGACUUCUUUAUAAGGUCGGCACGCACGCUGCAGCUACGACAGGCGACCACGAUGCGACGCUCUGUCGCCCAGGCUGGCCGCACUGACCCUCCGGCAACCGGCCGUGGCCCGCGCAAUGGAGCCAGAGAGGCUGAUGCCGACGACAAUGUCACCGUCGCAGCGGCCAUCGCUGCUGGCACUGUAUGCGUGAACCCCCUCGCCCCGAGCUCGUGUGUAGACAGCUGCGUUGCGUCCCUUGUUCCCGUCUUCCAGGAGCUGCUUUACUCGCCGCUAUGGCGGGUGCGGCACGCGGCGUGUGUGGGGCUCGCGUGCGUUGGCCCGUUGACGGCAGACCCAUCCUCUAUCGUGGACUUCCUGCUCACUUGCCUUGUGCUCCACGCCCCUUUGGUGACGGAGGAGAGCGGCUCAAGCCAGGCGCCGUCUGCCGCCGCCACACGGUCACCAGAGCUGCCGUUGCAGUCUGCCACUGUCGUGUGGUGUCUUGCGCAGCAGCGGCAGGGCGGUGCGCGGGCACUGUUGCAGCUGCUGCAGGACCCCCAGCAGCCUUCGCAAGUGCACCAUUGGUGCGCCUUCCAGCUCGCCGAGGUGGACGUGCGCGAGGCAUGCGCUAAGCUAAACAGGGGCAAGUUCCCUGAAGCCGACGCGCUGCUGGAUGAGAUGGUGCAGGUGCUGAGCAGGCUCAUCGUGACGCAGGGUGCCUUGGAAGAGGACACCGUACUGCUGUGUGUGCGCGCGUUGGCGGAGGUGGUGUACCGACACUACGUAAAUGCGAGAACGCCGGCCAGCACUGCUGCUGCGAUGGACGCUGUCCUUUCCCUCGACACGGCUCUGCCGGCGCAGGAGGCUGCCACCUGCUGCCAGGAGGAGGAGCCUAAUGCCUGCUACAUUGUCCUCACGUCGGUGCUGGAGUCGGCGUUGCUGCCCACCAAUGUCCUCAAGGCGCUGUGCCUGUACCUCUGCCGGUACGGCGGUGGCCACGGGGAGCUGUACGCAUGCAAGGCGCUGCUCCAGAGCAGCUCCGUCGCCGUUCGUACCGCCGCCGCAUUUGGGCUGCGGGCCUGCGGCGCUAAGGUCCUGCGUAGCGUUGUGCUGGGCAUGAACGACGAUAGCUUCGACGUGCGGCGGGAGUCCUUCGAGACACUGACUGCCAUCGGUGCAGCUGCGGCGCUGGAGGUGCUGCAUCAGCGACCGGCAGAGCACCGAUAUCAAGUGCAAGCCGCACUACGCGAUUGCUUGCUGCAGGACGCUAGCCGCCCCGUGCCACGCAAGGCCGCCGAGACUCUGUAUUGUGCACUUGUGAGCGAGGAGCCGCUCGCGGCGCAGGAGCUGUCGUAGCCACAACAUCUGCAGCGUAGAAAUAAUACGGAGAGAGAGCCCUUUAUGGGAGAAUAGGCAGGGCCAGUGGUUGUGGUGGCCGGCGCGCGCGUAUAGGUACGUCUAUGGGUCGUGUGACGUGUGGUGAAUGGGCUUCAGCGUUCGCCUCGCCGCCCAGCAGCGAAAACGCAGCAUCUGCUGGGCCGUCUCCCUUCUGCUUCCCUUGCGAAGCUCGCACACGCCUCAGCCCCUUCCCAAACCCUUUCCCUCCGCGCCUCUUCGCCCACCGCGCCCCGGAAAUCCACCUCACGACCGCCUCUGUGCCUUUGCACGGCCCCCACUCGCUGAGCCUUCGGUUAUGCUAUAUACACAAAUGCGUUUAUCUGUAUGUGUAAUGCGCGGCGCUCCCAGUCGUCUGCUACCCCGAUCGCACCCUCCCCCCGACCUCCCCGAUCGUCCUCUGCUCCAAGAAUUUCCGGGCUCCUUGCUUUCUUCCGCAUUGCUGUCUUGCGCUCCACUCCACAUACGCACACGCCGAUGCCCCUGCGCAGAGGAAACGUUGAGUGGACGUGUACAUCGAUAUCCCGAACGCCUGUGUGCGCCUCUAUCCCUGUUUUCUCUCUGGCCUUCUCGCUGUUCCUGCUCUUCU
This 5528-nucleotide unclassified non-coding RNA is filed under the name Leishmania donovani. RNAcentral describes it as "gene:LdHU3.28.3700(CDS-product:hypothetical_prote in_conserved)". The record is from RNAcentral. Lineage: Eukaryota; Euglenozoa; Kinetoplastea; Trypanosomatida; Trypanosomatidae.